Molecule: long non-coding RNA, 3770 nt
Organism: Triticum urartu
Lineage: Eukaryota; Viridiplantae; Streptophyta; Magnoliopsida; Poales; Poaceae
Source: RefSeq, a predicted model, not a curated record
ACUAAGUGGACAGACCAUAGUAGUAGCGGGUCGCCCCGAAACCCUAGCCCCCACUCCAUCUCGCCAUGCCACCACGUUCGUCCCUCCAGUCACUCCUCCUCAUGGCGGGCUCCACCUCCGUCGGCACCGGGGGCUCGGGCGUCCUCCUCGCCGCGCGCCGCCGCUUCCCCGCCACUUCGGGGGCCCAGCACAUCCGCUUCCUCCACUCCUUCUCGUCCCGCCCCCUCCUCCCCCGGCGGGCCGAGCUCGCCUGCUGCUUCGGGACCGCCCCCGCCGAGGCCGUGCCCACCGCCGGUUACUGAUGAGAUCGCUGGUGGUGUACCAACCGGCCAUGGCCGACUCGCCACCCGUGCUCCCCACGGACGUGCCGAGCCAAUCGUUCUCCGUUUCACCGGGUCUGGGCUGCGCCUAAGUCAGAGCCACUGACUCUCUGAUGGGCGGCGCUUAUCCACCGACGCCACCGACCACAUACCUCGACGCGCUGCAGCAAGUGCCUCACAGCGAGAUGGCGGAAGUGGCCUGGAUGGUUCAUGUGGCGGCAUGGUGCGGCGGCAAGCCGUCCACGGCAUGGUCCGUGGAGGAGGACCAGCUGUUGCUCUGAGGUCUCUCCCGGUACGUACGCGUUGCUGUCGCCAUGGCUAAAAGCCUUCUCUAUUAGCAGAGCAGAGCAUAGCAGAGCCUCUGUUUUGAGUGACACCAAGACUUUAGUGACUCCUCUGUCAAAUCCUCCAUGAAUUCCCUCCUUCUCAAGGUUUGCCGGCCAAGACAAUGUCAUAAAGUGCCUCAACAUCGCAUAUGGGCUAGCUGAGAAGACCGUGCUUGAUGUCGCGUAUCGCAACCGGUGGCUGUCAGACUUGGAGAAGAAGAAGAAGAAAGCUGCUAAGGGAGUUCAAUUGGGGCAAGAAAAAUCUGCAGGAGGAAAUGUUACCAAGGUAAUUGCAUUGGAGUGUGCUUUUGAAUGGCAUGUUUACAGAACUCUAUAGCUUAGCAGAUUGGUCUGGAACAUUUUAAGAACACAAAAAAAAUAAUAGUAAAUGAGCUCCAAUCAAACAUAUGGUUGUUCACAGGUUCAGUAUUGUUUGACUGAACUUGAAAAAUUAGUAUCACAGGAGAUCUGCAAACUGAAACAUAUAUAGGAGUAGUAUUCUAUCAUCCAUUAUCAUUUAAGUUCUACUCGAACUCAUCGUAAUCAGAUUCAGACCUCCAAUGGUAUCCAACCAUGAAACAGAACAAAAAUAUCCUCUAUACAGGUUAUGACCGUGAAGAUAAGUUACUGGUUCGUAGAUUCAGACAGUUCACUGCUGCACUUCACUGCCCAAUUUGAACGCUCACACCUGGGCACGAACGGGUUGGUACAGCUGUACGAAACCAUGUAUGUACAAGGGCAUCAAAGACGAGAUAUUUCUCCCAUCUGCUAUGAACUGCGUAGGUCUUUUGUAGAGCAAUUGGCAGUACCAUAAUGUAGAUAGCAUGUUGGAUACAACUGACUCAACUAUGGCUUGGAGUUGAAGCUAUUGAGCAGGGGCAAUGGGCUAUAUAUGGAUGGUCUAUAGGUCCAAAUGUUUAUGAAUGUUCUGAAGUUCACUACUGCACAGUAUAUCAUCUUCAUAUUGUCUUACCAAAUGGUAGGAAAAUAUGUAUCCAUAGGGCAAUUUUACUGCCUGGUGGUUGUUAAGAAGCCGUAGAAGUAUUUUUAAGGAAACCCGCAAGGGAGAAAUGAUAGACAUUUGCAAGUUGACUAUGCAUAAGUGCCAGACAUGCUAUGUCCAUGUUUUAUCUUCCUAGGUGGUCUUGUCUCAUCAAGCUCUUGAUGUAAAAUGUCCUCAUAUAACACAUCUAUGCAUGCUUACAAACUGUAGCAGUUUCUAGCUUUUUAUGGUGAGCCGCUAAGAAACUGUACCUUAUCCCUAAUGCUUUCCAUGACAAAUAGUUGAUGGUGUAUAUGUGUAACACGUGGAGAAUAUUAAUGCAAGACAUAAUAUGAGUUUGUGUAGCAGGUUCAUUUGUUUGUAGCUCCUGGAAAAAGUAGUAGUGCUUGAGAUCGAUAACAAUAGAUUUUACCUCUUAAUUGUUCUCGAAACUCUUAGCUGGGCACUACAUCCUUGUUGUAACAAAAACACCAGGAGCUGAAAAUUCAGUUAAAACAUACCACCAUUUGUACACUAUAAAUCUUCUAAAGCAACUAGGAGCUCAGAGAUUAAUGACUCGCUAAUUGUUCUUCACGGAUAAGCAUGCUCAUUUCUUUGACUCCAUCGAGCUUAGUAAUUUGUGCCCCACAAUUCUUCACUUACUAAUAUGAUGAGCUAUUGGUGUUAUUGCUAUACAAAAUUGUUCUAAUAUUUUAGCUUGUCUGUCUCAAUACAAUAUUACAUAGGUGAUGUCUUGUUAAUAGAAAUCACUCACUUUUUCGUUUUCGUAUAUUUAUUCCCGUAGCUACUGUACAACACAACAUGCAAGGAAAUAUAUGUCUGUUGAAAUUCAAUUUUAAUUAUUCUUUGUUCUGUACAUAAAUCUUUUGGAUGAAGUGGCAGUCAAACCAUCAAAGAAACUAAGAACUUAUUCCAGUGUGUGCAUUAUUUGAGGGCCACAAAACUCUUCUUCUGUAUGAAAUAUUGUCUCUUAGUACCAGUAUGAUAUCACAAUCUUGACUAAAGCAUUUGAAUUUAAGCUAGUAGAUAUUGAUCUCUGUGAUUGAAAUGUGUCUGUAUCAGAUUACCUUUGGUAUCCAGCAUCAGCCAAACUAUGUUGUAUAUCUUUCGUAGUAAAUGUAUCAUCUUAAGAGUGUACUGAAGCUAUAUUAAUUCGUAGGCUUUCUCCAUGGUUAAUAUAAGUUAUGUAACUAUAGGCUUUCCCCAUGGUUAAUAUAAGUUAUGUAAAGCAAUGUUUACUUGGAAGUGUAACUGUACUGCCAUUCUCAUCUUUUAAUAUAUAGCGACGGUGCUGCCGCACUUGUGCUAGUUAGUAGGGAGAAAGCUAAGAACCUUGGCCUUCAAGUUCUUGCAAGGACAAGAGGGUAGGCUGAUGCUGCUCAGGUAAAUCUUACAUGCCUCGUCAUUAAUCAUUGUUGGUGAAGCAAAUGUCAUUUGAGAAAUCUCGGCCUAUUGUUCUUGUUAAUGAAUACGGUUACCAACAUCAUCCUUUCAUGUGUCUCAAAACUGUCAACCUGACUCAUAGAAUGAUCUUUUUCUUUAGGAUUCAUGGUUAGUUUUUUCUUUUUUCUUGUUAUUAUGCAUUACUAUGAGUUCAUUGUAUUAAGAUUCCUUACAACUUCAGGCACAUGAGCUAUUUACCCGGCCUUCUUCACGGCUCGCGGCAGUGUCUUCCUUUGAUUCGUUCGUGCAACAAGGAGGGGACGCGCCCUUCUUCAUGUCUCGUGCAACAAGGGUGAUUGGCGCAGAGUACCGCUGCCCGGUGGGCGUCAUGCUCUUCAACCACUUGGAGGUGGAGUUCGCCGCGAAGCUCGGCGACUACGUCGCAUAGAUGAUCGUCCAGGUGAUUGUGAAACUAGAGGUCACCGAGGUGGAGGACUUCGAUACCACCGUUUGGGGGGAGGGAGGAUUUGGGUCCACCGGCGUCUGAACUCCGAGCCUUGGUAGAUACAUCUAGAGAAGUGGUAUGUUUAGGCUGCUGGUUGAACACUAGGAAAGGUACCCACCUUUGGUUGUGUGUGUUUACUGUUAAAUGGAAUCUUGUGAUCUCUUCCAGUUGAGAUGUUCAUUGUUGCAUCCAUGAACGGUGCAAGUGUUAAAUGGUCCCGUGACCUUAAUUUA